Molecule: ribosomal RNA, 479 nt
Filed under: uncultured bacterium
Lineage: Bacteria
Description: partial 16S ribosomal RNA
Rfam family: Bacterial small subunit ribosomal RNA
Source: RNAcentral
GAUGAACGCUAGCGGGAGGCCUAACACAUGCAAGCCGAGCGGUAGAGUUUCUUCGGAAACUUGAGAGCGGCGCACGGGUGCGUAACACGUGUGCAACCUACCUUUAUCUGGGGGAUAGCCUUUCGAAAGGAAGAUUAAUACCCCAUAAUAUAAUGAUUGGCAUCAAUUAUUAUUGAAAACUCCGGUGGAUAGAGAUGGGCACGCGCAAGAUUAGAUAGUCGGUGAGGUAACGGCUCACCAAGUCAAUGAUCUUUAGGGGUCCUGAGAGGGAGAUCCCCCACACUGGUACUGAGACACGGACCAGACUCCUACGGGAGGCAGCAGUGAGGAAUAUUGGACAAUGGGUGAGAGCCUGAUCCAGCCAUCCCGCGUGAAGGAUGACGGUCCUAUGGAUUGUAAACUUCUUUUGUACAGGGAUAAACCUACCCUCGUGAGGGUAGCUGAAGGUACUGUACGAAUAAGCACCGGCUAACUCCGUG